CCUACGGGAGGCUGCAGUGGGGAAUAUUGCACAAUGGGGGAAACCCUGAUGCAGCGACGCCGCGUGAGUGAAGAAGUAUUUCGGUAUGUAAAGCUCUAUCAGCAGGGAAGAAAAUGACGGUACCUGAUUAAGAAGCCCCGGCUAACUACGUGCCAGCCGCCGCGGGAAUACGUAGGGGGCAAGCGUUAUCCGGAUUUACGGGGUGUAAAGGGAGCGUAGACGGCAGCACAAGUCUGGAGUGAAAUGCCGGGGCUUAACCCCGGAACUGCUUUGGAAACUGUGCAGCUAGAGUGCAGGAGAGGUAAGUGGAAUUCCUAGUGUAGCGGUGAAAUGCGUAGAUAUUAGGAGGAACACCAGUGGCGAAGGCGGCUUACUGGACUGUAACUGACGUUGAGGCUCGAAAGCGUGGGGAGCAAACAGGAUUAGAUACCCUAGUAGUC
RNAcentral lists this ribosomal RNA (440 nucleotides) under uncultured bacterium. RNAcentral describes it as "partial 16S ribosomal RNA". It matches the Rfam family "Bacterial small subunit ribosomal RNA", at positions 338 to 795 of the family's 1533-position model. The record is from RNAcentral.